This 255-nucleotide ribosomal RNA is filed under the name Escherichia coli. RNAcentral's name for it is "partial 23S ribosomal RNA". It matches the Rfam family "Bacterial large subunit ribosomal RNA", at positions 2120 to 2374 of the family's 2925-position model. Lineage: Bacteria; Pseudomonadati; Pseudomonadota; Gammaproteobacteria; Enterobacterales; Enterobacteriaceae. The record is from RNAcentral.
AACAUUGAGCCUUGAUGUGUAGGAUAGGUGGGAGGCUUUGAAGUGUGGACGCCAGUCUGCAUGGAGCCGACCUUGAAAUACCACCCUUUAAUGUUUGAUGUUCUAACGUUGACCCGUGAUCCGGGUUACGGACAGUGUCUGGUGGGUAGUUUGACUGGGGCGGUCUCCUCCUAAAGAGUAACGGAGGAGCACGAAGGUUGGCUAAUCCUGGUCGGACAUCAGGAGGUUAGUGCAAUGGCAUAAGCCAGCUUGACU